UUUGUUUGAUUUUGGAUUGACCCAUUUGAUUGUUUUGAGGUUAUUCUAUUGAUUGAUGCAAAUGUAGUAGUUUAGGUUUGGUUUGUUUGUGCUUAUUGACGGUCUUGUGCUGGUUAGAUGAAUUCAACAUCAGUAGAUAACUUUAUCAUAAGCUAAAUGUAGUGCCGCUUUGUCUUUU
Molecule: small RNA, 178 nt
Filed under: Arabidopsis thaliana (thale cress)
Lineage: Eukaryota; Viridiplantae; Streptophyta; Magnoliopsida; Brassicales; Brassicaceae
Description: ATSL069370
Source: RNAcentral